AACAUGCUAUGUAUUUCAUGCUGUCAAUAUGAGAUGCAAAUUAAUGUUGUGUGUUGUGUGUUAAUGUUGUGUGCAGCUGAGAAGAUAUCCUUAUUGCUGGAUGGUUGCUCUCUGGUCGUACUUGAGCCCCCUGGACCAUGUCUGCAAAUGCUUCUGAACAUUGACAGAAUUUCUAAAGGAUCGCUGAGGACUCCCCCUCCAUGCGUGACAUCUUUGAGAAAUUUUCACGCUUUCUGGAGAUGCCAAGUUUGACUGGAACCAACUUUGCAUCCCUCGGCACUGACACUGAGAAGGUUUCAAGGACCCCACUACUAGGAGGCGAGAGUUUGACACGGCAGUGUCAUCACUGCCAUGGAUGAUAACGUAACCAUUCCUGUUGCUGAUUGCCUGACUUGCGCAGUGACAAGCUUUUCA
Long non-coding RNA from Engraulis encrasicolus (European anchovy), 414 nucleotides. RefSeq lists it as uncharacterized. The record is from RefSeq and is a predicted model, not a curated record. Lineage: Eukaryota; Metazoa; Chordata; Actinopteri; Clupeiformes; Engraulidae. The transcript is spliced from 3 exons.